UACGAAGGGGGCUAGCGUUGUUCGGAAUCACUGGGCGUAAAGCGCACGUAGGCGGACCAUUAAGUCAGGGGUGAAAGCCUGGAGCUCAACUCCAGAACUGCCUUUGAUACUGAUGGUCUCGAGUAUGGAAGAGGUUGGUGGAACUGCGAGUGUAGAGGUGAAAUUCGUAGAUAUUCGCAAGAACACCAGUGGCGAAGGCGGCCAACUGGUCCAUUACUGACGCUGAGGUGCGAAAGCGUGGGGAGCAAACAGG
This 253-nucleotide ribosomal RNA is filed under the name uncultured bacterium. Its description in RNAcentral is "partial 16S ribosomal RNA". It matches the Rfam family "Bacterial small subunit ribosomal RNA", at positions 524 to 776 of the family's 1533-position model. The record is from RNAcentral.